UGGGGGAAUUUUGGACAAUGGGCGAAAGCCUGAUCCGGCAAUGCCGCGUGUGUGAAGAAGGCCUUCGGGUUGUAAAGCACUUUUGUCCGGAAAGAAAUCCUUGGCUCUAAUACAGUCGGGGGGAUGACGGUACCCGGAGGAAUAAGCACCGGCUAACUACGUGCCAGCAGCCGCGGUAAUACGUAGGGUGCAAGCGUUAAUCGGAAUUACUGGGCGUAAAGCGUGCGCAGGCGGUUUGCUAAGACCGAUGUGAAAUCCCCGGGCUCAACCUGGGAACUGCAUUGGUGACUGGCAGGCUAGAGUAUGGCAGAGGGGGGUAGAAUUCCACGUGUGAGCAGUGAAAUGCGUAGAGAUGUGGAGGAAUACCGAUGGCGAAGGCAGCCCCCUGGGCCAAUACUGGACGCUCAUGCACGAAAGCGUGGGGGA
RNAcentral lists this ribosomal RNA (426 nucleotides) under uncultured bacterium. RNAcentral's name for it is "partial 16S ribosomal RNA". It matches the Rfam family "Bacterial small subunit ribosomal RNA", at positions 354 to 768 of the family's 1533-position model. The record is from RNAcentral.